UCGACGCUUUGGUGUGACGGGCGGUGUGUACAAGGCCCGGGAAUUCUUUCACCGGAGCUUGCUCAUCGAAAGAAAAAGAGUGGCGAACGGGUGAGUAACACGUGGGUAACCUGCCCAUCAGAAGGGGAUAACACUUGGAAACAGGUGCUAAUACCGUAUAACACUAUUUUCCGCAUGGAAGAAAGUUGAAAGGCGCUUUUGCGUCACUGAUGGAUGGACCCGCGGUGCAUUAGCUAGUUGGUGAGGUAACGGCUCACCAAGGCAACGAUGCAUAGCGCUCCUGAGAGGGUGAUCGGCCACACUGGGACUGAGACACGGCCCAAACUCCUACGGGAGGCAGCAGUAGGGAAUCUUCGGCAAUGGACGAAAGUCUGACCGAGCAACGCCGCGUGAGUGAAGAAGGUUUUCGGAUCGUAAAACUCUGUUGUUAGAGAAGAACAAGGAUGAGAGUAAAACGUUCAUCCCUUGACGGUAUCUAACCAGAAAGCCACGGCUAACUACGUGC
Molecule: ribosomal RNA, 505 nt
Filed under: Enterococcus casseliflavus
Lineage: Bacteria; Bacillati; Bacillota; Bacilli; Lactobacillales; Enterococcaceae
Description: bacterial SSU rRNA
Rfam family: Bacterial small subunit ribosomal RNA
Source: RNAcentral